UCCUGGUGUCUAUGGCGGUAUGGAACCACUCUGACCCCAUCCCGAACUCAGUUGUGAAACAUACCUGCGGCAACGAUAGCUCCCGGG
This 87-nucleotide ribosomal RNA is filed under the name Synechococcus elongatus PCC 6301. The record is from RNAcentral. Lineage: Bacteria; Bacillati; Cyanobacteriota; Cyanophyceae; Synechococcales; Synechococcaceae.